UGGGCAGGGCAGGGCAGGGGGAGAAGGAGCCUCCCUACCAGAACCUCCUCUUCCCUCCAGCAUCUCUGGCAGGCCCUGCCGAUCAGCGCCUCCCCAUCGCAUGCCAUGGAUCCAAUGUUUCACGGUGUCAGGAGGCACUGGGGAAGAGGAGCAAGGGCACAGUGCACAUGGGGAAGGGGUGCUCAGAAACUACAGUGAUGGGUGGCAGUAUAAUGUCCUAAGAUAGACAGAAACUUAAAUUUCUGGGUUAAACUAUCCAGCAAAGCACACACUGUAUUAAUCAUAUUCAGAACAUGUGUGGUUGGAGUGCGCCAUAUGAAACUCUGAUGAGGUGAUGGGGAAUAUAAGAGGCUGCAGCCAGAAAAACAAGACACUGACUGAAAUGUGCCACUGGCAUAAACUGGCCAGAUUACAUGCCUGAAUGAGGUAUGGCUGAUGCCAUGAGGAAUAGCUGAUGCAAAGCCUGCUUUAAGGAUUGUAAUGCAGGCGCUAAGGUUUGAGGUGGAGACUCAUUCUCUGAGAGUGUGUUAAUAAUAAAUAAUCAUUUAAAAAUUUGCAUUGAGCCAUCAGGAUGUACAUAUGCUUGUACAUAGUAACUGCAUGGCCUCAGUGCUGUAACCUUCACCCUAACCCUUCCCUAUUGGUUGUUACUCCCACACAUUGCAUCAUGUCUAAAAUUAGAUUGUAAGCAUCUUGGGGUAGGGACUAUGUCUUUCUGUUUACUCUGUAGAACACCUAGUGCAUUUUUGGAUGCUCAAUAAACCCCAAUUAGCAAAGAAAUCCAACAUCACCUAUAUAUUUACAUUUCUGUUUGUGUGGGCAUGUACAUUGCCAAUGCCACAUAUCUGCCCUCAUCAAAUAUACAGAGGAUUGGCUAUGCAGCCUGGAAGCGAGAGAGAAUUCAGUGAUGGUUGGUAUUAACAGACUAGCAACUGUUUCCAGUAUGGAACUGUUGUAGCCCACCCAGGAGCAUUGCCACUGGUUGGUUAUUUACAGUCAUAGUUCUUCAGACUUUCUUGCUUUCCCAUAACUGAGAACAAACUAAAAAAGAAACAAGAAUUCACAGCAUAAAACAACAUGCCAGUUUCCCCUACUUGUGUCCUAUAUAGCUUAACUAUUGCACAACUACAGCCAUUUCAAGGAAGAUAUUUAUGCUGAAGCCAACUGAAAAAGAUAAACAUAAAUGUUUUUCCUGGUGUGCAUGGGCUGCAUCUGCAAUGGUAAUUUUGUUGGUGAUGAAUGUGAGUGGAACAGUAGGGCUCUGCUUCAUGACCUAUGUUCUCCUUCCUUGUUGAUUUAUGUGAAGGUGUUAUAAUUAUAUUUCACAAGUCUCUCCCAGCAGAGGGAGAUGCCUACACGUAUCACAACAUGACUCAGUAUGACCAGGACAAUUGGUUUCUAGUAUCUAUUAAACCAGGGGGUCUCAAACUUCUUUGCACCACGACAUCCUUCUGACAAUAAAAAUUACUACACAACCCCAGGAGGGGGGACCAAAGCCUGAAUCUGUCUGAGCCCCACCACUCUAGGUGGGGUGGGGGCAAAGCCUAAGGGCUUCAGCCCCAAGCAGGGGGCCUGUAUCCCGAGCCCCGCUGCCCAGGGCUGAAGCCCUCAGCCUUCGGCUUUGGCCCAACGCAGUAGGACUCAGGCUUUGGACCAAGGACUCAAGAAGUCUAACGCCAGCCCGCUUUGGGGUUCCGACCCACAGUUUAAGAACUGCUGUAUUAGACUAAAGAUAUCUAGCUGACCAAAAGAUAACAUUUCAUGCAGUGUAAAAUGUGUGCGUCAUUACUGCAAAGUAUGCAACUUCGGUACUAGUGAAAUUAAUUAGCUGUUGAUGAUAGAAAAAUAUUCACCUGUGAUCUGUCCUUUUUACACAGCUUGAUAUCCUGUCUCACACUGGCCCUUCAGCCCCAGGAAACAUAGCUUCUUACCGUGGUACAAAAACCUUGUUCUGAGGCCUCAGCUGAAGCUGUUUGCACAGGAAAGACAGUGGGAUAAGUCAGAAGUAGUGCUGUAGUUGACAGCCAUCACUCCUACUCACUGCAUUACCAAUGAUUGCAGAUCUAAUGAAAUGAGACCCUCAGAAAAUUCACAGACUGAAAAUUUGAUUAGGGCUGUAGAACCAGCAUUUGAGAGGCUACAUUGACAGCCACAACCCAUAAUCCACAAUAAUGCUGCCACCGCAUGGGUUAUUCCUGAACUUUAAGAAGCCUCCUGUAUCUUCCUUGCUAUUUGCAAAUCUGAAAAUAUGACAUAGCAUGAGAAUGUGAAAUAUCUAAGAUUUCGGUGCCUUGAGAUUUUUUCAUUUCAAAAUUUAAUAAAAAGAUAUUAAAAGGAAAAAGAAUGAAAGAAGAGAUUUCUAGUAUUGCGCUUAGAACAAAUAAAGCCUAAGGCCCUUCAUAGAACAAACGCCUACUCACAUGUGACAAUGGGACAACUGCUAUGCAGAAAGUAACUCACGGGUGUUUGUAGAAUCAGGGCCCACAUCAGUACUUUAAAGAUGCCUUUUUAAAUGAUGUUUCUGCUGUAUAUCUGCUGAAAACAGUUGGCAGGUGGAUUUGCUGCUAUACAUACCCAUCAGCCCCACAUCAUCCCUCCUCUGAAUUCCCUGUCCCAUCAAACCCCACUCUGCACCCCAGGACAGAGACUGCACUCUACCAUAUAUAACAAUAUGCACACCCACAAUCAAUGUUUCUGCAUUCAGCACCUCACCCUAUUAGGGUUCUCUGUGCAGGGCCAAAUUCUGGCCCUCAUCAUAAAUAUCUCACAAAACCUCGUGGCCCUCUUAGGAUACAAAACCACAGGAGAAGGCUCUGAGGAAGUAAUAGACAAACAAUUCUCCGUAUACUGUCUUGUCAGUGGGGCAGGGUUUGAAAAGGCACCCCAGUUUGAAAAGGCACCGCCACUCUCAGAGGCACCCCAGAUCUUGCAAAUACCCAGAGAUCCACAAGAGGCCUGUGCCUCUGUGAUAGUUCUAACUCAUGGUAGAAGUUGUGCUGUCAAGGUUGAUUCCUAACUAUGAAUGUCCUGAGACUGUCCUUACUCUGUAUUCCACCUCAUCUCCACAGAAUCAGAGGUGGAACAGUGAGUGCUUCUCCCACAGUCCCAUUCAUAGAAUAUCAGGGUUGGAAGGGACCUCAGGAGGUCAUCUAGUCCAACCCCCUGCUCAAAGCAGGACCAAACCCCAAUUUUUGCCCCAGUUCCCUAAAUGGCCCCCUCAAGGAUUGAACUCACAACCCUGGGUUUAGCAGGCCAAAGCUCAAACCACUGAGCUAUCCCUCCCCCGCAUUCACCCCAUAUAACCUACCUCUCCAUUCCUCUAAUCAGCCCACCCAGUCUACAAUCCCUCUCCAGUGUAGAUGCCUGACCCACAGAGACCAACACAGUCCUCUUCAUCUGGAGGAGCUAGGGUGAUACUGCAGAGACAUCUGAACCUCUCUUCCCAAGUAGGAGGCAAGGAAAUCCACUCACAGAGAGUCUCCUCUUUGUGCAGAGAUCAUGGAAUGAUUGUGUGUGGAAUGAUCCAGGCUUCUGCUCUUAGUUAUUCUCAUUAUUACAGAUUUACUCUCACUGGUGUAAAUGCAAAAAGAAUUUGGUCCAUGGUAUAGCACUUAGACCUUCAGCUCAAGGAACAAGAAGAAAGUAGACUAUCAUCAUUUGUUACAAGUAAAGUAGACUUUGUUGCUGAAAUAAAAGUGGGGUUUAUUUAUCUUAGAUAACAAUUCACAUUUUUGCAAAGAUACCCAUUGGUCUGGUGACUGGACAAAAAUGUUAUGCCACAGACAGGCAAGUAUUUCUUCACUGUGGAUACCUUGUUGCUAUAGAUUGCCAUGCACUGGUAUGUUACAUAAGAGAUGGCUCCCAGUAUAUUGAGAACAUUAAGUACAGGCUGCUACAGUAAAGUGUUCAUUUUUUUCAGCAUCGCUGUAACUCCUAAUUAACUGAAUUGUCACAUUGAUUUAUGAAGUUAGCAGGAAUAUGUUUUAACAAAUGAGAUUCUUUUAAAAUUUUUGUUCUACUAGUUCUGCCUUAUGCAAAAAUAUUGUAAACGUUCCUUUAAGCAAAAAAGAAAAGGAGUGCUUGUGGCACCUUAGAGGCUAACAAAUUUAUUUGAACAUAAGCUUUCGUGAGCUGUAGCUCACUAACUAAAUUUGUUAGUCUCUACUGAGCCACAAGUACUCCUUUUCUUUUUUGUGAAUACAGACUAACACGGCUGCUACUCUGGUUCCUUUAAGCAGUUUGGACAACAGGGUAAAAAAAUGUUACAAACUUUAGGGGAGAUUGUCAAGUAUUUGUAUCCUAAUUUUAAACUUCACUUUCUGUUAUAAAUAUCACCUUAUAAUAAAGGAUUUUCCAUACGAUGUAAGACCAUGUUAACUUGUUUCUGCUUGUGGCUGUGGCCAGGUUCAUCAAUAAAAAGUAAAUAGAGAAUAUUUUCAGUUAUGUUGAACCAAUAAAUACACCAGAAACCUGAUUCCAAGAAUUCCUGGCUUUUGAAACAGAGACAAUAGACCUUGAGAAAUAUAAGCAGAAACAGAAAACCAUUUUGGCAUCCAUCUCCUAGGGGACAAAGAGGGAGCAGUGCCCUUUGGGAUCAUGAAAAGUGGAUUCUCUUGGCCUCAAAACCAAGUGGGACUGGAACUGACUGUAGGUGGGUAACCUGCUUAGACAAAGAUUGUAAUUUGCUGAAGUUAAGUUUGUCACUAGCAAAUGUGUUUUGUUUUACAUGUCACCAUAUCUGUCUUCUAUGUUUACUUAUUAUCACUUAAAUAUCUUUUCUUUGUUAAUAAACUUAUUUUUGUUUUAUUACAGAA
Molecule: long non-coding RNA, 4814 nt
Organism: Dermochelys coriacea (leatherback sea turtle)
Lineage: Eukaryota; Metazoa; Chordata; Testudines; Dermochelyidae
Exons: 4
Source: RefSeq, a predicted model, not a curated record